RNAcentral lists this non-coding RNA (31 nucleotides) under Mus musculus (house mouse). Lineage: Eukaryota; Metazoa; Chordata; Mammalia; Rodentia; Muridae. The record is from RNAcentral.
UGCAAAACUGAACACACUAUCAUACAUACAC